UUCUAGGGGGGGACAAGGGGGGCUAGAUCCCCCUAACAAAUUGAUUUUUCUACUAUAAUAAUGGUUGUUGUAGCUAUUUUUUUUACUUUAUAUGAACUUUGCCUCCUCCAUGAACAAACUUGCCCCCCCCCUAUGCUUGCAUGUUGGCUUCGUCCCUGUUAUUGGACUACAUAUAAAUGUAUAUAGACAUACUUUAAAG
RNAcentral lists this long non-coding RNA (199 nucleotides) under Hordeum vulgare. Its description in RNAcentral is "long non-coding RNA (HVUL_LNC017365)". The record is from RNAcentral. Lineage: Eukaryota; Viridiplantae; Streptophyta; Magnoliopsida; Poales; Poaceae.